Molecule: long non-coding RNA, 519 nt
Organism: Talpa occidentalis (Iberian mole)
Lineage: Eukaryota; Metazoa; Chordata; Mammalia; Eulipotyphla; Talpidae
Exons: 3
Source: RefSeq, a predicted model, not a curated record
GAACAAGCAUUUUUUUGCCAUGUCUAUCAGCUGCUUCAGUUUGUUUUUUAAAAAAAACAAAAUCCAAACUGUUUUUUUCUGAUUAUAAGAUUGAUCAUUGUAGAAUAUGUAGAAAUUCUUAAGGAUGAAAUAAGGAGAAAAUGUCUUAUAUUCAUUUUACUAGACUGCUUUGCUUUACCUAACAUUUCAGUAUAUUUUCUAAAAUAUUUUUAGCAGAGUCAUUUUAAUUGCUGUGUAUAAUUCCAUCUUUUUGGUGAAAGAACCUCUUACUGGAAGAGCUUCUAGUAGUUUUUUUAUGCCACAGAUUUCCCUCCCCACCCCCAAACCAGAGAGCCUAGAGCGGACCAUUGGUGCCAUGUGGAACGUGAUUGUUUUGCUGAUCCUGUUCACACUAAGCCCGGGUUGCGAUGGGCUGUUUCGCUCCAUAUACAAAAAUGUCAAGGUUUCUGCACCAGUUGAGGGAGAUGCAGGACAGCCAUUAUUUCUUACUCCUUAUAUUGAAGCUGGAAAAUUCACAGA